Molecule: non-coding RNA, 23 nt
Filed under: Cricetulus griseus (Chinese hamster)
Lineage: Eukaryota; Metazoa; Chordata; Mammalia; Rodentia; Cricetidae
Source: RNAcentral
UAGCUGAUCCUCGUCGCUGUGAG